This is a non-coding RNA of Camellia sinensis, 474 nucleotides long. The record is from RefSeq and is a predicted model, not a curated record. NCBI's taxonomy places the organism in Eukaryota, Viridiplantae, Streptophyta, Magnoliopsida, Ericales, Theaceae.
GUCAACCAUUUGUUUUGCCUUGGCUAAGAAAGGGAGUGAAGAGAAUAUGAGCUCAAGAGAGGGAGAAAGAGCCGAGAGAGAGGAAGCCACUGUUUUGUAUGCUGGUGCUUGAGUUAAAGAAAGAAAUUGGGAACAAAGAAGAAAGUAAAGGGUGACAAAGAGAAGACUCAAGAAAUUCAACCAUUAAAGAAAAAGGGUCACGCGCCAUUGUCUGCCUGAUUUGUCUGAUAUGUCCAGUCCGUCUGACUUGCUUCUGCGGCUCUGUGAUCAGGCGCGUGACCAGGCUUAGAGGCAUCUGCCUAAAAUCUGUUUUGUCAGCCAACCUAUGUGCCUCCCGUGGAGGUUCCGGAUAUGUCAAGUGAUUAUCACUAUGUGAUUUAAAGUUUAAGUCCUUUUGUCUGAUCUGUAUAUAUAUUAUGACUUAAAGAUAAUGUGCAUAUGUGUAUAGAAAAAGUUUAAAAUUUUUCUGUCUCA